AGAGUUUGAUCAUGGCUCAGAUUGAACGCUGGCGGUAGGCUUAACACAUGCAAGUCGAGCGGAAACGAAGAAAAGCUUGCUUUUCAGGCGUCGAGCGGCGGACGGGUGAGUAACGCGUAGGAAUCUGCCUAGUAGUGGGGGACAACCUGUGGAAACGCAGGCUAAUACCGCAUAAUCCCUGAGGGGGAAAGGAGGGGAUCUUCGGACCUUUCGCUAUUAGAUGAGCCUGCGUGAGAUUAGCUAGUUGGUGAGGUAAAGGCUCACCAAGGCGACGAUCUCUAGCUGGUCUGAGAGGAUGAUCAGCCACACUGGGACUGAGACACGGCCCAGACUCCUACGGGAGGCAGCAGUGGGGAAUAUUGGACAAUGGGCGCAAGCCUGAUCCAGCCAUACCGCGUGUGUGAAGAAGGCCUUAGGGUUGUAAAGCACUUUCAGAAGGGAGGAAAGGUUGAUGUUUAAUACGCAUUAGCUGUGACGU
RNAcentral lists this ribosomal RNA (478 nucleotides) under uncultured Alteromonas sp. RNAcentral describes it as "bacterial SSU rRNA". It matches the Rfam family "Bacterial small subunit ribosomal RNA", at positions 8 to 475 of the family's 1533-position model. The record is from RNAcentral. Lineage: Bacteria; Pseudomonadati; Pseudomonadota; Gammaproteobacteria; Alteromonadales; Alteromonadaceae.